AACAGAUUGAGUGUAUCCCUUAUGGGAAAUGCUUGGGACCAGAACCAUUCUGGGUUUUGGACUUAUUUGCAUAUACUGGAAGCAAUGCCUGUGUACCACUUCUCUCCUGAAACUGCCAAUCCCAGUGUGGUUUUCUUACACCACAAGGCAGAGUCACUCUUCCUGCAGGGCUGACAUAAUUUCUGGGUGUUGCAUAAUGUGGAGCAGGAACACAGAGAAGUCGUGGGGUUCAUCCCCAAAGAAGGACCUGCUGCUGCCAACAUCCACAGAAGGAAAGCCAUGGGGGAAGAUGGCGGCGAGAGUUGGAAGAAGAGGGCGAAACCAGUGUUGAAGACCCAUGGAAAUGGACAUCAACAGCAGUCAUCAAUGAAAACCAGAAUGGGGUGGAGGACAUCAUUUGUGUUGAGAGAUUGCUGAAGAACUGGGCUGUGGCCGAAGAGCGAUUGAGUAAAUGGUCCUCAAGAUUGGAAAAUGUGCGCCAAGUGAGUUCUUUAUCCAUUAGCAGAGGAUACUUAAAAUAAUUUAAAAAGCAAAUGUUAUUUGUUACCUGCCCCUCCUCGCGAUUCAAGAAGACACUAUGUCAGGCAGCAUUUGAAGUCCGCAAGGACACAUUCGGGAUGAGACCUGUGCAUACAUGUAUGAUCCCAAGAACUGGGGCGCAUCUAUUUAUUUAUUUACGAUAUUUCUACCCCGUCUUUAUCGAAUGCAAAGGUGACUCAAGGCGGCUUUACAACAUAGGCAACUAUUCGAUGCCAUUAAAACAAGGUUCAAAAAGCCAUGUUUUUACUUUUCUGCAAGAGGUCAAGAGGGAAGGGACUGAUCUAAUAUCCCUAGGGAAUUCCACAGCAGAGGGGCCACCACUGAGAAGGCCCUGUCUCGUCCGCGCCAGUCGUACCUGUGAAGAAGGUGGGACCGAAAGCAGGGCCUCCCCAGAUGAUCUUAAACUCCUAGAUGGUUCAUAGGGAGAGUGCUUGAGACACCCAAAUGUUGCAAGGAAUAAGUGUGUGGGCCCUGAACUUCCUGCUUACGUGAACAUGUUGUGCUACUGAGAUAUAAACAAGGAUAAACCAGUUGGCUCUUUCACUCAACCAGUUGGCUCUUUCGCAGAAGGAGGCGUCUUACAUUCUGGAAGUGAUAAGAGACAUGUUUUCCCCGGAGGUCAGCUGUGGUGACAGUGCAAAAAGUGGAUUGCCCUUUAACUUUUAUAUUCAGUUUCACCCAAAGAGCUAUGGAAAUCUUUUUGGAGUUCUAAAAGUUUGGAUGUAAAAAAGCUUCUGAAGGAGGGGAAGGUGCCUUUGUUAACUCUGUGGGUUAAUUCUACACCGUAGAAUUAAUGCACUUUGAUACCACUUUUAACUACCAUAGCUCAAUGUUCUGGAAUCCUGGGAUUAGCCCUUUUUGGUAAAGACCUUGUUAACAAUAAUUUCUAUGAAUCCAUAGCAUUGAGCCAUGGCAGUUACAAUACUGUAAAACUACAUGAUUUCUACAGUAUAGAUGCACUCUAUGUUUAUGGUAGUGUUGCUGAUUUUCCUCUAUUAGCACCUGAAAAACUUGUGUAACGACUUCUUGGAAUUCUGGUUAACUUUUGCCCAACUAACAAUCAGUUAAUGUUUACUCAGAAGUUCAACUGAGCUGAAUGGAGCUUAAUUCUGAGAAAACACAUACUGUAUGACCAUAUGUUCUUGUAUCUGUCUCUUCCCUUUGUUUUACUUAAUAGCAACAUUAUAUUCAAAUUCUCAUUCACCAGUGCUUUUCUCUGAAAUUCAACCUGUGAAAAAUGAAGCUACUAGCAAGCGUUCAUUGCAUGUCUCUGGAGCUGAUUUCGUGAUUCAGCAGCUCUCAGGAAAGGAUAUGAAAUAAAUAAGGCAAGAGCUAUUAGAAAGCAAUAUCAAUCAUAUAACACAAUCCACUUCCUCUAACCUACUUUCCUGGCUCUGUGAUUACUUCAUGUUUUUCCUCUUGUGUGAGGUCACCAACAGGGUUACUGUCAGCUAAAACAGUUUGUUCCAUGUGUUGGUUAGAUGUUUGCAUAGUGAUGUGGAGGGAAAUUUUCUGAACUUGUGAUGAUUCAUAAUUUGUUUCCUAAAACUAAGGACAUUGCUUUUUUUUUACAAAUAGCUUUUUGGAAUUCUUAUGAAUAUAAAUUUUCCUGAGUUCACAAUUGAAAUAUUGGAUCAUGUCACAGAUAUCCAAGUAUUUGAAAUCUAAUAGCCAAAAUGAUACACGAAUGCCCUGUACUUUCAUGCUAGAAAGCUGUUUAUCUAUCAGAAUUGCUUUUUCUAAAGCAGGGACAAAAGGUUUAGGUGGAGUACCAUGCAAAGAUAAACAACUAAUUUGCCUGCAACCAAGCUUUGUACAGAGAUCUUGUACAAUAAACUUAUCUGCCCUCAC
Molecule: non-coding RNA, 2391 nt
Organism: Anolis sagrei ordinatus
Lineage: Eukaryota; Metazoa; Chordata; Lepidosauria; Squamata; Anolidae
Source: RefSeq, a predicted model, not a curated record